GAAAUAGAGAUAAAAUUAUAGAAGUACUGCAGCAGAACCAGAGCAGAACCCACACCAGGUUCAGGAUGUAGUCCCAACAGUAUCCUGGCUCAGGUUCAGGGUGUAGUCCGGACAGGGUCCCGGCUCAGGUUCAGGAUGUAGUCCCGGCAGUGUCCCGGUUCAGGUUCAGGAUGUAGUCCGGACAGUAUCCUGGCUCAGGUUCAGGAUGUAGUCCCGGCAGUGUCCUGGCUCAGGUUCAGGAUGUAGUCCGGACAGUGUCCCGAUUCAGGUUCAGGAUUUAGUCUGGACAGUAUCCCGACUCAGGUUCAGGACCUAGUCCUGUCAGCGUCCUGGCUCAGGUUCAGGAUGUAGUCCUGGCAUUGUCCUGGCUCAGGUUCAGGAUGUAGUCCCGGCAGUGACCCACCUCAGGUUCAGGAUGUAGUCCCGGCAGUGACCCACCUCAGGUUCAGGAUGUAGUC
Ictalurus punctatus (channel catfish) is the source of this 458-nucleotide long non-coding RNA. The record is from Ensembl. NCBI's taxonomy places the organism in Eukaryota, Metazoa, Chordata, Actinopteri, Siluriformes, Ictaluridae.